RNAcentral lists this ribosomal RNA (426 nucleotides) under Boana multifasciata group sp. ABGD cluster 71. Its description in RNAcentral is "partial large subunit ribosomal RNA". It matches the Rfam family "Bacterial large subunit ribosomal RNA", at positions 1822 to 2381 of the family's 2925-position model. The record is from RNAcentral. Lineage: Eukaryota; Metazoa; Chordata; Amphibia; Anura; Hylidae.
UUUGAUAUAAAUAUAAAAGGUCCAGCCUGCCCAGUGACCUAGUUCAACGGCCGCGGUAUCCUAACCGUGCGAAGGUAGCGUAAUCACUUGUUCUUUAAAUGAGGACUAGUAUGAAUGGCACCACGAGGGUUAAACUGUCUCCUUUCUCUAAUCAGUGAAACUAAUCUCCCCGUGAAGAAGCGGGGAUUGCCAUAUAAGACGAGAAGACCCUAUGGAGCUUAAAACAAAUUAACACCUGCUUCCAUCUAUUUUUAUUCCCGAGCUAACACAUAAAAUACAGCAUUAUUGAUUAAUAGUUUUCGAUUGGGGUGAUUAUGGAGUAAAAAUUAACCUCCACGACGAAAGGGCCACUUCCCUGAGCUAAAAGCUACAACUUUAAGCACUAAAAAAUUAACGCACUUUGACCCAAAUUCUUGAGCAACGAAC